GAUGAACGCUGGCGGCGUGCCUAAUACAUGCAAGUCGAGCGAACAGACGAGGAGCUUGCUCCUCUGACGUUAGCGGCGGACGGGUGAGUAACACGUGGAUAACCUACCUAUAAGACUGGGAUAACCUCGGGAAACCGGAGCUAAUACCGGAUAAUAUAUUGAACCGCAUGGUUCAAUAGUGAAAGACGGUUUUGCUGUCACUUAUAGAUGGAUCCGCGCCGCAUUAGCUAGUUGGUAAGGUAACGGCUUACCAAGGCGACGAUGCGUAGCCGACCGGAGAGGGUGAUCCGCCACACUGGAACUGGGACACGGUCCAGACUCCUACGGGAGGCAGCAGUAGGGAAUCUUGCGCAAUGGGCGAAAGCCUGACGGAGCAACGCCGCGUGGGUGAUGAAGGUCUUCGGAUCGUAUAACUCUGUUAUUAGUGAAGAACAAAUGUGUAAGUAACUAUGCACGUCUUGACGGUACCUAAUCAGAAAGCCCCGGCUAACUACGUG
This 497-nucleotide ribosomal RNA is filed under the name uncultured bacterium. RNAcentral describes it as "partial 16S ribosomal RNA". It matches the Rfam family "Bacterial small subunit ribosomal RNA", at positions 28 to 507 of the family's 1533-position model. The record is from RNAcentral.